AAAAUAUCAACUCUCAAAAAUAUUUCUACUUGUGUACAAAUAAUACAUAGUUCCAAAAGCAAAAUAUCUACACUACUUUUGCCUUCUUUCACAAGGUAACAAUUAGCUUAUUCAAAUAUCUCACUGCAAGAGUAAUUUGUAUAUAUAUAUACUAGAUCAGUGUUUUAUUAUUGCUGCAUGCUCUCCCUGAAGUUCAUAGAUCUAGACAUCGCUGCAGGGUUUUCUUGUAGAUUGAUAGACGUUUCAGGGACCAAGCUUCUUCUGUUGCUACCCUUUGUUUCAAAUCUAUUGAACAAACUUAAUCCUCCUUCCGUAUUCUUCUCAGGCUUUGUUGGUAACUCAGGGUACACCACGUUCUUAGUAGCUUCACUAGUUCUAAGAGUAGUAUUUUUGGUUUCUACUUCAGUUUGAUCCCUUGCUCGUUUCCCUAAACAUGGUGAAGUCUCUGAGAUAGGCCAUAUAGGAACCGUGCAGCCCCAAUAGAAAGGGAUAGGGUAGAAACUAGUAUUAGGACCCGUUGGACUCCAUUGGUAAGGCCAAGGAGAAGUAUUAUUAGGUAACAUUACUUGGGAAGCAAGAAACUCUUGGUGGGUUUUGUUUUCUUGAUGCUUAACAGUCUCUGUAACCGAAGACUCUGAAGAACCAAAACUGAGGAUCGUUCCCGAGUUAUUGUUGUUCUCAUAAUCCUCAGACGUGACCUUCAAGUAAUGGUUUGAACAAGGCCACCCUUUGUUCUUGCGGCGGCCUGAUCCAACGGGGACGUUUCUCAUGGAUCCACCAGCUGUCCAGUACCUCUGACAGUUCCUGCAGAAGUGACGCGGCUGGCUCACGUUGUAGUUGUUGUAGUAACAGAACUUGGUGUUUGCGCUUUCGCAUCUCGGACACGGAAGAAGCUUGUCCGGUUUCUUGAGAGUAGUUGGUUUAUCUUCUGAUGUACUUGUUGUUGUUGUUGUGAUCUCGCUCUGUUGAUCCCCGUUGGUCUUUGAGCUUGUUGGUGAUGAAAUCUCAAAAGCUGCUCUUGGCGGUUCGUUAAGAUCGGAUAAUAUGCAAGGACCUUUGAAUCUGCUAUUGCCGUGCUCAUGGUUAUUAGCCAGAACCUAAAAUUUUAGCACAACUUUAUUAUAACUAGCCACAGCUUUGUCUUAACGGAUAUAUAUUAUUACUACAAAACAGAGGAGUUUGAAAAAAAAAAAGAAAAAAAAAGGAGUUUGAACAAAAAGGACUUUGAGAUUUGCGUGACAGCAUACCAUGUUUGGUCCGGUCGAAGGACAACAAGAGGAUGAGGAAGAUGAAGAAGGCUCCUUGCUCUGAUAGGACACACCGUGAAUAGAAGAUAACGACGACGGAUCAUGAUGAUCCACAGCUAAAAGAGAUGUAAUUGUCGUCCCAAACAAUUUUAUCUCCGUAUCUUUAGAUUUCGACAUACUAAUUUUCCAACUUAACAAUUAAACCAAUUCCUCUAAAAAUUAUUGUUUACUCGUUUUUUUAUUAGAUCAGAGAAAAAGGAGAGAAUACAAGGGGCUGAGCUUGGUUGGUAUGAAUGACGAUAGUGCAUAGAAGAGAGAGAGAGAGAGGGGGAGAGUCAGAGAGAGACUUGUUAAGUUUUAAGAGCCAC
RNAcentral lists this long non-coding RNA (1615 nucleotides) under Brassica rapa (field mustard). RNAcentral's name for it is "long non-coding RNA (BRAP_LNC005501)". Lineage: Eukaryota; Viridiplantae; Streptophyta; Magnoliopsida; Brassicales; Brassicaceae. The record is from RNAcentral.